Physeter macrocephalus (sperm whale) is the source of this 3177-nucleotide RNA transcript. It is a transcript of the gene named tropomodulin 3, with no coding region annotated. The transcript is spliced from 11 exons. The record is from RefSeq and is a predicted model, not a curated record. Lineage: Eukaryota; Metazoa; Chordata; Mammalia; Artiodactyla; Physeteridae.
CGGAGUGGGAACCAGGGCCGUCGAGUUGGGGGAGCAGCCGGCGCUGGAUCAGACAACUGCCUGGGAGGCGGCAGCAGGCAGACGGGCGGGUACUGGGAACUGAGCGGCAGGCCGUCCCCGCGGGUCUGUGAAGGAGGUCGGUGGCCGUAGCGGGCUCCAGUCAGCUUUAAGAAAAAAAAUAAGAAAUCACUUCUGACUGUACUGAAUAGCAAAAAUUAAGUGACUGCAAACCAUGGCACUAUCGUUCCGGAAGGACUUAGAAAAGUACAAGGACGUUGAUGAAGAUGAACUCCUUGGGAAUCUAUCAGAAACAGAACUGAAACAACUGGAAACUGUGCUGGAUGAUCUUGACCCUGAGAAUGCCCUUCUGCCUGCAGGGUUCCGGCAGAAGAACCAGACAUCAAAGUCUGCCACAGGGCCAUUUGAUAGAGAACACCUCCUUUCAUAUCUGGAGAAGGAAGCUUUGGAGCAUAAGGACAGGGAAGACUAUGUGCCCUACACUGGAGAAAAAAAGGGGAAAAUAUUUAUCCCUAAGCAGAAACCUGUACAGACUUUUACAGAAGAAAAAGUAUCUCUUGAUCCAGAACUAGAAGAAGCUUUGACAGGUGCUUCUGAUACAGAAUUGUGUGAUCUCGCAGCUAUUCUUGGGAUGCACAAUUUGAUAACAAAUACACAGUUCUGCAAUAUAGUGGGAAGUAGUAAUGGAGUCGACCAAGAACAUUUUUCAAAUGUGGUAAAAGGUGAAAAGAUUCUUCCAGUAUUUGAUGAGCCCCCAAAUCCAACCAAUGUUGAAGAGAGUUUACAGAGAAUUAAAGAAAAUGAUGUUCGUCUUGUUGAAGUUAAUUUGAAUAAUAUAAAGAAUAUCCCAAUUCCAACCCUAAAAGAUUUUGCAAAGGCUUUGGAAACCAACACACAUGUGAAAUAUUUCAGUCUUGCAGCCACCCGAAGCAAUGACCCCGUUGCUGUUGCUUUUGCAGAGAUGCUAAGAGUGAACAAAAAUUUGAAGAGCUUAAAUAUGGAGUCCAACUUUAUUACAGGAGCUGGGAUUCUAGCACUGAUUGAUGCUUUGAGAGAUAAUGAAACCCUGGCUGAGCUGAAAAUCGACAAUCAGAGGCAGCAGUUGGGGACGGCUGUAGAAUUGGAAAUGGCCAAGAUGCUUGAGGAAAAUACCAAUAUCCUUAAAUUUGGGUAUCAGUUUACACAGCAGGGACCCCGAACCAGGGCAGCUAAUGCUAUAACAAAAAAUAAUGACUUAGUCUCAACUUUUCAUUGAAAUAAUCCUACCUACUCGCCAUCUCUUCAGCUAAGGAGUAUCACGGCUAUAACAGCAAAGAGGUUAUAUGGUUUCGCAAGAGACGAGUUGAAGGAGACCACCAGUAAGUCUGCCAACAUAUAAUCUUUGGAAGACUUCGAAAGUUUGCCAAGGGCCCGUGUUGUGAUAUCAGAUGUAAAAUUUUCCUCGGGAGAAGGGAAAAGACUGGAAAUUCUUUUUUUUUUUUUUAACUACAUGUAUCUUUUAUCUAGUUUAAGUUGUUACCAGUUUCAAAUUGUAAAUCACUAGUAGGUGGUAUUUUGUAUUCUAAAGCAUUAUUUCUACUUUCUGCUAAAAUCAGUUUUAAUUUAGCUUAAUUAAAUGGUUUAUGAUGAGUCUUGGGUUAAAAAAAUACAAUUAUAAAAAAGUUUAGGAAGUCAUUUAUGUAGAAUAAUAUGAACAUUCUAAGGACCAAUCUUUUUUUAAGUCAAAAAGGGACAUUGCUGAUGUCAGAAUUGUUGCUGCACCUCUUAGGUACAAGGAACUUCAAAGCUUUCCUUAUUCCAUGGCAAGGAGACUUUUCCAAGUUUCAGAACACAUGAACUUGGCAAGAGUAUGGUUUUUGCUUCUAUCAAUCAAGAAAGCGAAAUGCCAGCAUUUUAAAACAGAUGACUCAAAACCUGGUCAUCUGUUUUGGAGUCAAAGCAGAUCUCUAGGAGAGAGAAAGCAGUCUCCUGUGCAUUCCACAGCACUGCACCUGUCCAAGGUGUCUCAGCAACACCUACAGUUUUUUUCAACAAAGUCAUCAGCUUGGCCAGGUUACACACUUUGUUUAAAAGUAUAGUUAGGUCUAAAUUAAUUACCGUUUUUCAUUGUAAUAAUGUGGGCAUUAUUAAAUUUUUGUGAAGGCUCAUACUAGAAAAAAAACAUCUGAGUAGGAAAGCUAUUUUUUCUUCCCUGUAAAAGGCAUACAGCCAACUCUCAGUUAUUUAGGGUAAAAGAAAAAAGAAAGCUGUUGUUAAACAUAUGAAAUCAAAGUUAAUAAAUGGUGGAGAUUAAGUCUGAGGAGCAUGCAAAAUGGUCCUUUAAAUUGGUGGUUACUGAUGGUAAAUUAGAAACUGGCCUGGGUAUAAAUUAAGAGCUGCACAGGAUAGUGAGACGUUCCUAUAUGCAACACAGAAUUGUCUGAAUGGUAUAUAAUCACCACUCACUACAGAUUUUCCCAACCAAUAAGGAAAAUGGCUGUUCUUGAUAAAUCUAACGUUUGUUAUCUGUUUCCUUUCAUCUUGUACUUUUUGGUCUACAUUGUAUAAAAGCAAUUUCUCAUAACACAAGCUGUCUUCCUAUCAUUCAGAGUAUUAAGGUGAACAGUUAAAUGGUGGUUCUGUGGUGGGAAGACUAUUCCAGAUCCAAUAGUAUGAUAGACAGUUUGGGCCUGCAUUCAUGUCCUAUUUCAGGGCAGCCCCAGAGCAGGAGAUGGCAGAGGCGUUACAGCUGCAGGCAACAGGGGCAAAGGAGUCUGAGCAGUCCUGGCCUCGACAGUUCAGGCCUGGGUGUAUCACUUACAGGGAGAUUUUUCUAAAGGAAGAAUCUCCUUCCAGAAUAGGGGAGAGGUCUGUUGUUAAUAAUUUUUUUUAAACUUCUUGAAAUUGAAUUAUAAAAUGUCUGCUCCUCUGUCUUGGGUUGGACAGUUUAUCUAAUGAGCUAGGCAGCUCCUUUCAUGCUACAGUAAUAAGCCUUCUUAACAGGCAAAAGCUUUCCUCAUGAGGACUGAGUGUGUGUUUUUUGGGAAUCAGUAUCCAUUGUUUGAAAGGGGCCAAAGAUUGACUUUGCACUGUACUGCUAUUCCCUUUCAGUUAUAGGGUGCUGGAGGUUUUUCCAAGUUAGCAAGUCAAGCUCACCCUCGCUCGCUCUCUCCCUCUCUC